Trichoplusia ni (cabbage looper) is the source of this 478-nucleotide long non-coding RNA. RefSeq lists it as uncharacterized. The record is from RefSeq and is a predicted model, not a curated record. The transcript is spliced from 2 exons. NCBI's taxonomy places the organism in Eukaryota, Metazoa, Arthropoda, Insecta, Lepidoptera, Noctuidae.
GAGUCUGACACGCAAAACAUGAGCUAGACAAUUUUUAGACAUUCUUCAUAUAGCCACACCAAAAUAUAUGUCAAAUGUCAGUACAUGAAUUGUCAUUUGCAUAAAACGUGUUUACUUUUUUGCUGCGAAAUUAUUUUAAACCAUUAAAUAUGAAGACUCCUAUUAAGAAUGAGGCUAGAAGGCUAAUAUUCAAUAUGAUUAAUAAAUUUGAUGUGAAAAAUAAAGACAAUGAACAGAUUUUCAAUGUAAAAGACCAAUGUUUGGUUACAAUCUUGGAAGCCAUUGAAUGGAAUAAUUGUAUAGAACACCUCAUAAAAAACGAAAAUAAUUAUGUUGAAAAAGAUAACAUUCUUGAAACGCAACUGGAAAGUUUUACUAUAAAUGUAAAAGAUGAUAGUAGUGAUAGUGACGAAUCUCUUGAAGUAGUUUUUUAGAUUCCGAUUUUGAUUACGAAUCACAAUAAAUAAUGUUAUAAUAA